This 500-nucleotide ribosomal RNA is filed under the name uncultured bacterium. RNAcentral's name for it is "partial 16S ribosomal RNA". It matches the Rfam family "Bacterial small subunit ribosomal RNA", at positions 30 to 523 of the family's 1533-position model. The record is from RNAcentral.
AUUGAACGCUGGCGGCAUGCCUUACACAUGCAAGUCGAACGGCAGCACGGGAGCAAUCCUGGUGGCGAGUGGCGAACGGGUGAGUAAAGUAUCGGAACGUGCCCAGUCGUGGGGGAUAACGUAGCGAAAGUUACGCUAAUACCGCAUACGAUCUACGGAUGAAAGCGGGGGAUCGCAAGACCUCGCGCGAUUGGAGCGGCUGAUAACAGAUUAGGUAGUUGGUGGGGUAAAGGCUCACCAAGCCGACGAUCUGUAGCUGGUCUGAGAGGACGACCAGCCACACUGGGACUGAGACACGGCCCAGACUCCUACGGGAGGCAGCAGUGGGGAAUUUUGGACAAUGGGCGCAAGCCUGAUCCAGCCAUGCCGCGUACAGGAUGAAGGCCUUCGGGUUGUAAACUGCUUUUGUACGGAACGAAAAGGUUUGGCCUAAUAAGCUGGACCCAUGACGGUACCGUAAGAAUAAGCACCGGCUAACUACGUGCCAGCCGCCGCAGUAA